This 70-nucleotide transfer RNA is filed under the name Rhinatrema nigrum (black caecilian). RNAcentral describes it as "tRNA-Tyr". It matches the Rfam family "tRNA". From Rfam's summary of the family: Transfer RNA (tRNA) molecules are approximately 80 nucleotides in length. Their secondary structure includes four short double-helical elements and three loops (D, anti-codon, and T loops). Lineage: Eukaryota; Metazoa; Chordata; Amphibia; Gymnophiona; Rhinatrematidae. The record is from RNAcentral.
GGUAGGAUAGCCAAAUGUUAGGCGGUGGGUUGUAGCCCCAAAAGCAAAGGUUAAAUUCCUUUUUCUGCCA